This 449-nucleotide long non-coding RNA is filed under the name Elaeis guineensis (African oil palm). Its description in RNAcentral is "long non-coding RNA (EGUI_LNC017811)". Lineage: Eukaryota; Viridiplantae; Streptophyta; Magnoliopsida; Arecales; Arecaceae. The record is from RNAcentral.
CCCUUAUUUUUUGACUUUCCAUACAGCACCUAGCAGGAGUAACCACAAGAAACUCGUCAAGCGAAGGAUGCGAAAGUGCACAUGUGCAAAAGCACUUGAGUGUCCUAAAACGACACUACAUGAUCUGAUACUCACGCACAAGGUCCAAGAAAUGUAAAAGCCUGGAUUCUAAAUAAUAUUUUAAAGACACUGUUUGUGGGAGCAUAAAAGGAUUGAGUUGAGAUACAUGCCUCUGACAUUCUAAUUCAACUCUUUACGCUACCUCCAGUUCAUCUUUAAGCACAAACUUUUGAUGGUUGAUAGCUUGAACGAUGAUAACAUUUCAAGAAAUUAGACCGAUAACAGUCAAAAACCCUGAACUUGUCAUCUACAAUUGAUUCUUUUAAGUUGAAAAGAUGCAGAAGCAAUAUUUCUUAUUCCUGAAGAAAUAUCCUUUUUGCAAUUUCCUU